GGGUUAAUUAGAAGCUUGCUUCUAACUAACCUAGCGGCGGACGGGUGAGUAACACGUAGGCAACCUGCCCACAAGACAGGGAUAACUACCGGAAACGGUAGCUAAUACCCGAUACAUCCUUUUCCUGCAUGGGAGAAGGAGGAAAGGCGGAGCAAUCUGUCACUUGUGGAUGGGCCUGCGGCGCAUUAGCUAGUUGGUGGGGUAAAGGCCUACCAAGGCGACGAUGCGUAGCCGACCUGAGAGGGUGAUCGGCCACACUGGGACUGAGACACGGCCCAG
Molecule: ribosomal RNA, 279 nt
Filed under: Paenibacillus polymyxa
Lineage: Bacteria; Bacillati; Bacillota; Bacilli; Caryophanales; Paenibacillaceae
Description: partial 16S rRNA
Rfam family: Bacterial small subunit ribosomal RNA
Source: RNAcentral